GAUGAACGCUGGCGGCGUGCUUAACACAUGCAAGUCGAACGGAAAGGCUCCUGCUUGCCGGGGUACUCGAGUGGCGAACGGGUGAGUAACACGUGGGUGAUCUGCCCUGCACUUCGGGAUAAGCCUGGGAAACUGGGUCUACUACCGGAUAGGACGAUGGGUUGGAUGCCAUUGUGGAAAGCUUUUCGGUGUGGGAUGAGCUCGCGGCCUAUCAGCUUGUUGGUGGGGUAAUGGCCUACCAAGGCGUCGACGGGUAGCCGGCCUGAGAGGGUGGACGGCCACAUUGGGACUGAGAUACGGCGCAGACUCCUACGGGAGGCAGCAGUGGGGAAUAUUGCACAAUGGGCGCAAGCCUGAUGCAGCGACGCCGCGUGGGGGAUGACGGCCUUCGGGUUGUAAACUCCUUUCGCUAGGGACGAAGCGCAAGUGACGGUACCUGGAGAAGAAGCACCGGCUAACUACGUG
RNAcentral lists this ribosomal RNA (465 nucleotides) under uncultured bacterium. RNAcentral describes it as "partial 16S ribosomal RNA". It matches the Rfam family "Bacterial small subunit ribosomal RNA", at positions 28 to 507 of the family's 1533-position model. The record is from RNAcentral.